Long non-coding RNA from Malaclemys terrapin pileata, 3174 nucleotides. RefSeq lists it as uncharacterized. The transcript is spliced from 3 exons. Lineage: Eukaryota; Metazoa; Chordata; Testudines; Emydidae. The record is from RefSeq and is a predicted model, not a curated record.
UCUCUUCCAGACAUUUACUGGCAGCUUCGCCCUCCGGCCACCCCCGCGACUGGCUCUGGCUGGAGAGAGUGGAACAGGAAAUACCGGUUCAAAGCCCUGGUACAAUAGCACAUCUGUCUGAGAGCAUGAUGCCACAACUGAAGCAAAGUGAGCAAGAGACAAGAGGAGCUUUAGCACCUAUCCUCAUGUAUCGCAAUGAAUAACCUUCAGGACAUGAACUAAAGAUAUUAAGAACACACAAAGGUAAGUCAAAAUGACUGGGAUCUUAUAGGGACAUCUCUUCUGCUGCAUUCGAGCUGAUGGCUGUUUUGAGUCAGGAUUAUGUGCUCCAAUUAUUUUAUUUUGUGUUUCUCACUGCUGUGGCCUUUGCAAAAAGAAGUAACUUUUUCUGUUACACUGUAACGUGCAAUUCUGGAAGUGGAGACAGCCUAUAAAAAGUUAGAAUGGGAUAUGGUUUAGAGCAACUGGACUAAAACAAAAUAUUUUGAUGAAUGAUGGGAACUGUUUUGAAAUGUUACCUAGUAAAUAUCAAAUCACUGUGCUAUUAUUUAACAAAUAUAAAAUAAUAAACAUGUAUAGUGCUUUACACCUUCAAAAUGCUGUACAUUUACUACCUUUUAAUAAGGAUCUUUUGAAUUCUAACAAAAUGCCAAAUGUCUAUACAGUAAGUGUAUUUCUCACACGAGAAUAUGAAUACAUUUUAUAAAGCAUUAAAAGAUCACGACAACCAAAAUAAUUAGGCCUUGUUUGUUAAAGACAUUUUGCAAUGUUUAAAAGCUUUAAUUAAUGGAGCUGCACAAAAGAGACACUUUGUGCAGGUGGCACACCUUCUUUUGAAUGUGCCAAUUGUAUAUUGCCAUAUAAAUGCAGGCUUAGUUCACCUGCAUGUGUGUAACAAAGCUCAGCAGCCUGGAGCUAGAGAAAUUCAAUAGUAGUUUCCUUUUCUUGCCUCGUAAAUCUCUCUCUCUCGGUGUUGUUGCCAAAGUGGUCAUUAACACUCAACAAUUUUACAUUUAUUGUGUUGAGGUAGCAAACACCACAAUAUUCAAAUACUGUUUAUCAUUAGCAGCAUUGCUUGCUUCUCCCACUCCAUAGCGCAUCACAUCCAGGACACAGAUGUUAUGAGCGUUAGUUAUAGUACAUUCAGUACAUGUUUGCAUAAAAAAGUUACAAGAUCUCUUAGCAGGAGUUGGAAAACUAAGUAAACAUGUAGUGUUUUCUUGCAGGAAAUACACAAAUGUUUGCCAUACACAGAUGAACAUAAAACCAAAUCUUUACAAGGGAAAAAGAUUUCUUAGACAAAUAAACAUAUGAAAAAUUCUCUCCGGGUCAGGAGCUUUUAGCAGAGCCUAUUUUUAUUUAUUUAUUUUUUUGGGUGUUCCUUUCUUUAUCCUUUGAACAUACUGAAUAUGAAAACUCCUAUUUAUAUUUUCCACAAAUCUGUUAUUCAGGAACAUGUAUUUCUUCAUUCAGCUAGCAUUGGCUCAUAAAAGUUAAAUAGAUCCAAAUACAAUAUAAACUCUCUGACUUCUUAAUCUCCAGAUACGGACGCAAUAUAACCUGAACUUGUGUUUUAUGCUUGAGGUUAAAAAAAAAGAUCUUAUGCAUAACUUGGAUUCUGAGGCACUGUCUGCAAGUGUCUAGACAUAAAUAAAAAGGAUUGUUUGAUUUCUUGCAUAUUGCCUCACCAAGAUAAAAACCCUUUGAAAUGCAAUAUCUUGUUUAUUUAAACAAACAAGAUUCUGGGAGGAGAGAGGAGUUAACAAUAGGCUACAAUGGCUUAUCUAAUAUAAUGUACACCAGUGGUUCUCAACCAAGGGUACUCGUACCCCUGGGGGGUACUCUGAAGUCUUCCAGGGGGGUAUAUCAACUCAUCUAGAUAUUUGCCUAAUUUUAUAAUAGGCUACAUAAACAUAACUAGCGAAGUCAGUACAAACUAAAAUUUCAUACAGACAAUUACUUGUUUAUACUGCUCUAUAUACUACACACUGAAAUGUAAGUAUAAUAUUUGUUUCAAUUGAUGUAUUUUAUAAUGUAUGUGGAAAAAAAUAAGGAAGUGAGCAAUUUUUCAGUAAUAGUGUGCGGUGACACCUUUGAAUUUAUGUCUGAUUUUGUAAGCAAGUAGUUUUUACGUGAACCUUGGGGGGUACGCAAGGCAAAUCAGACUCCCCAAAGGGGCACAAUAAGUCUGGAACGGUUGAGAGUCACUGCUGUACACCAACUAAGUGUACACCAAAAACAGUUACAGCAGGUUGAAAGGCAAAUCACUAAGGAAUAUUUUAAUUACUUAGGUGGACUAUUUAAAAUAAGAUGAUUCUCUAAAAUUUCACGUUAAAAAAUGUUAAUCCUACUGCACAAUAGCUUGAUCCAUUCCUGAUUUUAUAGUUAGUAUGUUCUAUUUGAAUGACCUCUAAGAAAUCUACCUGCAUAUGUACAGUGAAUCUUUAUGCUUUGUCUUUCCUUUUUAGCUAAACCAUUCAUCAACAAUGCCAGAGAGAUGAAAGACACCCUCAGUCUGCUGCUGGGAGAGUGGCAGAUUUCAUUGUAAACUUUUGGUGAGGCCACUCAUGACAUUCUUUCAACACAUUCUGUACAUCUCACUCCCAGUCAGAACCAACUGCAAAACCUGGAAUGGAUCAAACUGCUGUAGAAGACAAGGCAGAGGACACAGCAAUCAAGACCUCCACAUUAAGAACUGCCCAAGAUCGAUAAAAACAUCUCUCAGUUAAAUUGUAGAAAACAUGCACACGAAUAAAACAAGGAACUCGUACCCAGGCUUACAGGGUCAAUCCAUAAAGAACAGUGUUAGACCAUAACAAUCUCAUUUCUCUUCCAGACAGUUCUUUUGUCACAGCUGUUCAGUCUUCUAUGAAUAGGCUACAGUCGCGUUCAUAGUGCUUGUGAAAUUUGACAUUUAAAAAAUGGAACACAUUUUAUUACAUUAUACAUUUUACUGCACUAGUUUGUGGGUCAGCCUGUCCAUUUCUGUCGGUCACCACCUGAAGUAUAAACAGCAACUAGUUGUUAUACCUCUAGGGAAAAUCCUAUUGGGUGUAUGUGUUGAGAAAAUGCAUAAAAUAUGUGAUCAGGGCAUUAAAUAGUCUCCACGGGGCUAGCAGGCAGGCUUUUAAUUCAUCUCUGAAUUUUCAGACAUUUCCUAGCAUACAGAUAAUU